This 503-nucleotide ribosomal RNA is filed under the name uncultured bacterium. Its description in RNAcentral is "bacterial SSU rRNA". It matches the Rfam family "Bacterial small subunit ribosomal RNA", at positions 17 to 518 of the family's 1533-position model. The record is from RNAcentral.
UUAUGGCUCAGGAUGAACGCUGGCGGCGUGCCUAACACAUGCAAGUCGAGCGGGAAUCAUCUGAUUGAAACUUCGGUAGAUAGAGGAUGAGGAUAGCGGCGGACGGGUGAGUAACGCGUAGGUAACCUGCCCCUUACACGGGGAUAGCCUCGGGAAACUGGGAUUAAUACCUGAUAACGCGGUGAAGUCACAUGGCUUUACCGCCAAAGAUUUAUCGGUGAGGGAUGGACCUGCGUCUGAUUAGCUGGUUGGUGAGGUAACGGCCCACCAAGGCAACGAUCAGUAGCCGACCUGAGAGGGUAAUCGGCCACAUUGGAACUGAGACACGGUCCAAACUCCUACGGGAGGCAGCAGUGGGGAAUAUUGCACAAUGGGCGCAAGCCUGAUUGCAGCAACGCCGCGUGAGCGAAGAAGGUCUUCGGAUCGUAAAGCUCUGUCCUCAGGAACGAAGAAGUGACGGUACCUGAGGAGGAAGCCCCGGCUAACUACGUGCCAGCCGCUGC